This 468-nucleotide ribosomal RNA is filed under the name uncultured bacterium. RNAcentral's name for it is "partial 16S ribosomal RNA". It matches the Rfam family "Bacterial small subunit ribosomal RNA", at positions 28 to 507 of the family's 1533-position model. The record is from RNAcentral.
GACGAACGCUGGCGGCGUGCUUAACACAUGCAAGUCGAACGGAAAGGCCCUGCUUUUGUGGGGUUCUCGAGUGGCGAACGGGUGAGUAACACGUGAGUAACCUGCCCUUGACUUUGGGAUAACUUCAGGAAACUGGGGCUAAUACCGGAUAGGAGCUCCUGCUGCAUGGUGUGGGUUGGAAAGUUUCGGCGGUUGGGGAUGGACUCGCGGCUUAUCAGCUUGUUGGUGGGGUAGUGGCUUACCAAGGCUUUGACGGGUAGCCGGCCUGAGAGGGUGACCGGCCACAUUGGGACUGAGAUACGGACCAGACUCCUACGGGAGGCAGCAGUGGGGAAUAUUGCACAAUGGGCGGAAGCCAGAUGCAGAAACGCCGCGUGCGGGAUAACGGCCUUCGGGUUGUAACCCGAUUUCGCCUGUGACGAAGCGUGAGUGACGGUAAUGGGUAAAGAAGCACCGGCUAACUACGUG